AUUGAACGCUGGCGGCAUGCUUUACACAUGCAAGUCGAACGGUAACAGGCCUUCGGGUGCUGACGAGUGGCGAACGGGUGAGUAAUGCAUCGGAACGUACCCAGAGGUGGGGGAUAACGCAGCGAAAGCUGUGCUAAUACCGCAUGUGAUCUGAGGAUGAAAGCGGGGGACCGAGCAGCAAUGUUUGGCCUCGCGCCUUUGGAGCGGCCGAUGUCGGAUUAGCUAGUUGGUGGGGUAAAGGCCUACCAAGGCGACGAUCCGUAGCUGGUCUGAGAGGACGCCCAGCCACACUGGGACUGAGACACGGCCCAGACUCCUACGGGAGGCAGCAGUGGGGAAUUUUGGACAAUGGGCGCAAGCCUGAUCCAGCAAUGCCGCGUGCGGGAAGAAGGCCUUCGGGUUGUAAACCGCUUUUGGCAGGAACGAAACGGUGUCCGCUAAUACCGGGCGCUAAUGACGGUACCUGCAGAAUAAGCACCGGCUAACUACGUG
Molecule: ribosomal RNA, 492 nt
Filed under: uncultured bacterium
Lineage: Bacteria
Description: partial 16S ribosomal RNA
Rfam family: Bacterial small subunit ribosomal RNA
Source: RNAcentral